GGAAAUGUGCCCGAAAGUUAAGGACCUCCUUGAUAGGGAGAACAAUAAGAGCGCAAACCCCUUCAUUUCCU
RNAcentral lists this transfer RNA (71 nucleotides) under Andinobates virolinensis (Santander poison frog). RNAcentral's name for it is "tRNA-Ile". Lineage: Eukaryota; Metazoa; Chordata; Amphibia; Anura; Dendrobatidae. The record is from RNAcentral.